RNAcentral lists this ribosomal RNA (497 nucleotides) under uncultured bacterium. RNAcentral describes it as "partial 16S ribosomal RNA". It matches the Rfam family "Bacterial small subunit ribosomal RNA", at positions 28 to 507 of the family's 1533-position model. The record is from RNAcentral.
GAUGAACGCUGGCGGCGUGCCUAAUACAUGCAAGUCGAGCGAACGGACGAGAAGCUUGCUUCUCUGAUGUUAGCGGCGGACGGGUGAGUAACACGUGGAUAACCUACCUAUAAGACUGGGAUAACUUCGGGAAACCGGAGCUAAUACCGGAUGAUAUUUUGAACCGCAUGGUUCAAAAGUGAAAGACGGUCUUGCUGUCACUUAUAGAUGGAUCCGCACUGCAUUAGCUAGUUGGUAAGGUAACGGCUUACCAAGGCAACGAUGCAUAGCCGACCUGAGAGGGUGAUCGGCCACACUGGAACUGAGACACGGUCCAGACUCCUACGGGAGGCAGCAGUAGGGAAUCUUCCGCAAUGGGCGAAAGCCUGACGGAGCAACGCCGCGUGAGUGAUGAAGGUCUUCGGAUCGUAAAACUCUGUUAUUAGGGAAGAACAUAUGUGCAAGUAACUGUGCACAUCUUGACGGUACCUAAUCAGAAAGCCACGGCUAACUACGUG